CAAGUGUGAAGUGUACUCCACGUCGUCGCAUUGCUCCUUUUCCUCGUCUCUCUCGGCGGAGAGAUUCACGCAUGCGGGAAACUCUCCUUCUCGGCGAAGAAAAUAAAUUUUCUACAUCGUCCAAUUUGCUCGAGGCGAAAAAUUUAUAGACAAAAAGUGCAUCGCGGAUCCGAGGUUUCCUGCAUUGCGGAAAUGUAAAUGAUAUCAGAUCUCAGAGUGAAACUGCCGCACGGAAUGUCGAUAUAUAUGUGACCUCCAUGCAAAAGGUGGUUCCACACAUCUGGGACACCCUUUAUAACACUGGGGGCUCGAUACGUCUCUUGGCGAAAAGAAAGAGAGAGAAAAUAGAAACGCACCGUGCCGCGAAGAAGGCACUGGGAUAAUGGAGGGGUAGAGCAGGAGGAGGAAGAUGAGGAGGAAGGAGGAGGGGGAAGCAAGAGAAAACGGUCCGAUGUCGAACUCGCGUGGUAACAUAGAGCUCUGCAUAUCCCGUCACUCGAAUAAAAACCAAACCCGGGAAUAUCGAUCCGACGCUAUAAACACCGACGAUUCCAUUUUGGUAUGUGCGUGCGUGCGUGUGCGUGCGAGCGGGCGGGCGAGCGAGCGAACAAAAUGUCGCCCCCAGCCCAUAUACCCACCAUAAUUAGUGGCGCGGUAAUAGCGAGUGGCGAGAGAAGGGAGGAAGAGGGGGAGGGAGGAGGCAUCGUGGAGAUCCGAAGGAGAGCGGGAAAUACGAUUGAAAGGCGGGUUGGCGCGACAAAGAGGGGAUGGGGAGAGGAGGCGGGGGGAGAAAGAAAAAUUGGGAGAGGGGAAGGAGCGAGAGGGAGAAAAGGAACAACUGUGCCAGGGGGACGGCCGACACACAUGGACACAUUUCGCCAUAAUGGAAAUUUAUGAAUACAAACGGACGAUUGUAAUAAUAGCAAAAAAAAAGAUGCAAGACGUGCGAGAGAGGCUUCUUUUUUUUCUCCCCUCUGCGACGCUCGCCGGAAGGCGCAACAAAAUGUACGACGCUGGCGUCACACGCACGCACGCACGCACGCACGCACAUACGUAUCCGGUCGUCCCUCCAUGCGAAUCCGAGGUGGCGGCGUCUCGCGGACGCCGACAUAUUGAAAUACAAAAUGAAGAACGCCGUUCGGAGAAAUGAUGGGACAGGAGUGCGUGCGAGAGAGACGGAGAGAGAGAAAAUAAACAAAAAGGAAAGACAGGCGAUGCAGUGUUAUCGAACAGUUGCACCGUGUCGACGAGUUGUCGUCGCCUCCAGCGAGGAUCGUCGUCGUCGUCGUCGUCGUCGGUGCGAUAUUCCGAAUAUUUAGCGAUUAUUUUCGUAUGGUAUGUAAAACACCGGAAGCACGGCGAAGGGGUGUACACCCUCGACGGUCGUCCUACGACGACCAUUACGACGACGACAACGACGACGAUGACGCCACCACGAGAAGCGCCUUCAACACGAACGUCUCACUCUACCUUCAUCAGCAGUGUAACAAGGCUGCUGUACGAUAUUUGGGAAAAACCACCGGUCGUUACUAUUCGACCAGUGGUGCAAAACCUGAAUUAACAUCGAUCAGGUACAAAAUGCGACGCGGACCCUAUGCCACGGUCACGGACGCAGACGUUCGCUUCUUCGAUUCGUUGCUCGGCUCCAAUCAUCUCAUCACAGAUCCAGAUGAAUGCGAGAGUUAUAACAUCGAUUUUCCAAAGACUAUUAGAGGUAUGAGUCAACUAGUAUUGAAACCGAAAUGUACCGAGGAGGUAUCGGCCAUAUUAAAAUACUGUAAUGAGAAACGAUUAGCAGUUUGCCCGCAAAGUGGUAACACCGGUCUUGUUGGCGGGAGCAACCCGGUGUUUGACGAAAUCGUCAUCUCCAUGCAACUCAUGAAUAAAAUUCUGGAUACAAAUGAAUUGGCAGGUGUACUGACAUGCGAGGCUGGCUGCGUUUUACAGGACUUGGAGAAUCAUUUGGCUACCGUCGAGUUGAUGAUGCCUUUGGACCUUGGAGCAAAAGGUAGUUGUAUGAUUGGCGGUUGCGUAUCCACAAAUGCUGGGGGAUUGCGACUUCUGCGUUACGGUAAUCUUCAUGGAAACGUUUUAGGAAUCGAAGCAGUAAAGGCAAACGGCGACAUUAUGAACGCGAUGAAUACACUUAAGAAGAACAAUACUGGAUAUCACUUGAAACAUCUUUUUAUAGGCUCAGAAGGCACGUUAGGGAUUGUAACCAAGGUAGUUAUUCAGUGUCCACCGUUACCAAAGGCUGUUAACAUCGCAUUUCUAGGAUUGGAAAGCUUUGAUAAAGUAUUGCAAAUAUCUCAUUUAGCGAAACGUCAACUAGGUGAGAUUCUGUCCUCCUGUGAGAUGAUGGACCGAUUGUCUAUGGACGUCUCUAUUAAUAAUCUGGGUUUGAAGAAUCCGUUGACAAGUCGUGAAGAUGGUCAUGAGUUUUAUAUGAUUAUUGAAACAUCCGGUAGUCAUUUGGCUCAUGACGAAGAGAAAUUAUCCUCGUUUGUAGAAAAAGCGAUCAAUGAUGACAUAAUUGAAGAUGGCACGUUGACAAACGAAACAACAAAACUUAAUAAUAUAUGGGCCCUUCGAGAAAGAAUUAGCGAAGGUGUCUUACGUGACGGAUAUGUCUUCAAAUACGACAUCUCUUUACCUCUGUUAUCCUUUUAUGAAGUUGUCGAGGUGCUCCGCAAGAGACUACGCGAUCCACGUAUUGUUAGGAUUAGCGGUUACGGCCAUUUAGGUGACGGAAAUAUUCAUGUACAAGUCUCUAUACCGGAGUAUUAUGAGGACGUAGCUGCGCAAUUGGAGCCAUUUAUUUUUGAGUAUGUGUCGCAACGCCAGGGUAGCAUUAGUGCCGAACACGGUAUCGGUUUUAAAAAGACUAAAUAUCUUUAUCUGAGCAAGAGCUCUUCCGAGAUCAAAAUGAUGUACGAUUUGAAGAAAAUGAUGGAUCCGAAUGGCAUUCUGAAUCCAUAUAAAGUUUUAAAACCAAUUGUACAAGCGUCAUGAUUAUUGUAAAAAUAAUUUCUAUCAAAAAUGAAAUGUGCCAUUUAAUGUGCCACUUGAACAAAAUCGAGUAAAGGAUUAUAGAUAGAAGAUCGAAACUUUCGAGAAAGAUAUCUAUUUAGGCGAACGAUUCUGGAACCAACGAGACAUCUUGCGAGAUAUCGCGAGAUAAUCAUGCGCAUGCGCUGUACUAUCGAACGAUCUCGAAAAGGCGGUAAACUGAAUAUAAAUCGGCGCAAUAGCACCAGUUGCGCAGUUAAUCGCAAAGUGAAUUCGCGGCUGGACGUCUGGGAGGAAGCGAGUCCUGUAGCGAAACUCAUAUUGUGCAGCACAACGAAUAAUUUCGCGAAUCGAACAUUCAACGAUAAUCGAGUAUUGACGAAUUUCCGAACUUUCGAAAUUAAUUUUCGAAGGCAGUGAG
Molecule: unclassified non-coding RNA, 3430 nt
Filed under: Monomorium pharaonis (pharaoh ant)
Lineage: Eukaryota; Metazoa; Arthropoda; Insecta; Hymenoptera; Formicidae
Description: d-2-hydroxyglutarate dehydrogenase, mitochondrial, transcript variant X3
Source: RNAcentral